UACGGGGGGGGCAAGCGUUGUUCGGAAUUACUGGGCGUAAAGGGCUCGUAGGCGGCCAACUAAGUCGGAUGUGAAAUCCCCAGGCUUAACCUGGGAACUGCAUCCGAUACUGGAUGGCUUGAAUCCGGGAGAGGGAUGCAGAAUUCCAGGUGUAGCGGUGAAAUGCGUAGAUAUCUGGAGGAAUACCGGUGGCGAAGGCGGCAUCCUGGACCGGCAUUGACGCUGAUGAGCGAAAGCUAGGGGAGCAAGCGGG
This 253-nucleotide ribosomal RNA is filed under the name uncultured bacterium. RNAcentral's name for it is "partial 16S ribosomal RNA". It matches the Rfam family "Bacterial small subunit ribosomal RNA", at positions 524 to 776 of the family's 1533-position model. The record is from RNAcentral.